UUAAUUGAAGAGUUUGAUCAUGGCUCAGAUUGAACGCUGGCGGCAGGCCUAACACAUGCAAGUCGAGCGGCAGCACAGAGGAACUUGUUCCUUGGGUGGCGAGCGGCGGACGGGUGAGUAAUGCCUGGGAAAUUGCCCGGUAGAGGGGGGAUAACCAUUGGAAACGAUGGCUAAUACCGCAUAACCUCGCAAGAGCAAAGCAGGGGACCUUCGGGCCUUGCGCUACCGGAUAUGCCCAGGUG
RNAcentral lists this ribosomal RNA (242 nucleotides) under Vibrio cholerae. Its description in RNAcentral is "partial 16S ribosomal RNA". It matches the Rfam family "Bacterial small subunit ribosomal RNA", at positions 1 to 237 of the family's 1533-position model. The record is from RNAcentral. Lineage: Bacteria; Pseudomonadati; Pseudomonadota; Gammaproteobacteria; Vibrionales; Vibrionaceae.